Molecule: unclassified non-coding RNA, 340 nt
Filed under: Hevea brasiliensis (rubber tree)
Lineage: Eukaryota; Viridiplantae; Streptophyta; Magnoliopsida; Malpighiales; Euphorbiaceae
Source: RNAcentral
CUCUCUCUCUCUCUCUCUCUCCCCUUUUUCUUUUAUAAUGUUCCAGCUAUACUCUUCACAAUUUCAGGGCUCAACCUCAAUCUUGAAGGUCUCCCCUCCUGAUUUCUUCCCAAACAUUUGAGCCCGUUUUGUUUCUUUUAUCAGAUUGUUAGCACAGCACACAAGAUCAACUUUGAUUUUAUAGUUUGUUAGCAAUGGCUUCUCCACCAGAUACAAGCAAGACCUUAAAGCUUGAGAGGUACAACAGCUACCUUCGCAAGAUUCAAAAUACUAAAGUCCUUAAUGCCUCCUCUAAGCUCCUCUUUCGUGCCACUCUCCUUAUUGCUCUUGUUCUUGUUCU